ACAGAAAGAGAUGAGAAGGGGGCUAGGAAGCUCCGAUUACGGUCCUACAAACACCGAUCCGAACGUGGUGGAAUACGUCGACCGUUAGGGCUGUCACUACCCUAAGGCUACCACAACAAUCCGCAGGAUUGGGUGCAAUUCCAGGUAAUCGCAAGACUAAACACCACGUCUAAUCUAUUAAUUACUACUCUAGCGUUAUAAAGACUAGAGCACUUGAUGCAAGCGGGAAUCCAAUAAAUAACUUGAAGGUAAAUAAAAGUAAUUAAAGAACUCAGGAAUUAUGAGUUGAAGAACCUGGAGAACGAUGAAGAACGAACCAGAUGCUGCAAAAGUACAAUGUUGAGGAAGAUCCG
RNAcentral lists this long non-coding RNA (353 nucleotides) under Sorghum bicolor (sorghum). Its description in RNAcentral is "long non-coding RNA (SBIC_LNC003412)". The record is from RNAcentral. Lineage: Eukaryota; Viridiplantae; Streptophyta; Magnoliopsida; Poales; Poaceae.